GCACUGCUGAGGAGUCCCAUACCAGGACGAAACGGCCGUUCAGUGC
Non-coding RNA from Schistosoma margrebowiei, 46 nucleotides. NCBI's taxonomy places the organism in Eukaryota, Metazoa, Platyhelminthes, Trematoda, Strigeidida, Schistosomatidae. The record is from Rfam.